RNAcentral lists this ribosomal RNA (442 nucleotides) under uncultured bacterium. Its description in RNAcentral is "partial 16S ribosomal RNA". It matches the Rfam family "Bacterial small subunit ribosomal RNA", at positions 338 to 795 of the family's 1533-position model. The record is from RNAcentral.
CCUACGGGAGGCAGCAGUGGGGAAUAUUGGGCAAUGGGCGCAAGCCUGACCCAGCAACGCCGCGUGAAGGAAGACGGCUUUAGGGUUGUAAACUUCUUUUAGGAGGGAAGAGCAGGAGACGGUACCUCUUGAAUAAGCCACGGCUAACCGCGUGACAACAGCCACGGUCAUACGUAGGUGGCGCGCGUUGUCCGGAUUUACGGGGGGUAAAGGGCGUGUAGCAGGGAUGACAAGGCAGAUGUGAAAUUCCGGGGCUCAACCCCGGACCUGCGGUUGAAACUGUUGGUCUUGAGUAUCGGAGAGGCAGGCGGAAUUCCUAGUGUAGCGGUGAAAUGCGUAGAUAUUAGGAAGAACACCAGUGGCGAAGGCGGCCUGCUGGCCGACAACUGACGGUGAGGCGCGAAAGCGUGGGGAGCAAACAGGAUUAGAUACCCGAGUAGUC